This 433-nucleotide ribosomal RNA is filed under the name uncultured bacterium. RNAcentral's name for it is "partial 16S ribosomal RNA". It matches the Rfam family "Bacterial small subunit ribosomal RNA", at positions 29 to 507 of the family's 1533-position model. The record is from RNAcentral.
AACGAACGCUGGCGGCAUGCCUAACACAUGCAAGUCGAACGAGACCUUCGGGUCUAGUGGCGCACGGGUGCGUAACGCGUGGGAAUCUACCCUCAGGUUCGGAAUAACUCAGAGAAAUUUGAGCUAAUACCGGAUGAUGACGUAAGUCCAAAGAUUUAUCGCCUGAGGAUGAGCCCGCUUAGGAUUAGGUAGUUGGUGAGGUAAAGGCUCACCAAGCCGACGAUCCUUAGCUGGUCUGAGAGGAUGAUCAGCCACACUGGGACUGAGACACGGCCCAGACUCCUACGGGAGGCAGCAGUGGGGAAUAUUGGACAAUGGGCGAAAGCCUGAUCCAGCAAUGCCGCGUAAGUGAUGAAGGCCUUAGGGUUGUAAAGCUCUUUUACCCGGGAUGAUAAUGACAGUACCGGGAGAAUAAGCUCCGGCUAACUCCGUG